GCGGAGUCCGGCACGGCAGGACCCAGGGCGGCCCCGUCGCCAUCGAGGUGGGCAACACCGAGUGGCCCAAGUGGGAGCAGAUCAUGGCCGCCGACCCCGUG
This 101-nucleotide transfer RNA is filed under the name Sinomonas cellulolyticus. RNAcentral's name for it is "tRNA-Gly". Lineage: Bacteria; Bacillati; Actinomycetota; Actinomycetes; Micrococcales; Micrococcaceae. The record is from RNAcentral.